UGCCUAAUACAUGCAAGUCGAGCGGGGUUAUUUAGAAGCUUGCUUCUAAAUAACCUAGCGGCGGACGGGUGAGUAACACGUAGGCAACCUGCCCACAAGACAGGGAUAACUACCGGAAACGGUAGCUAAUACCCGAUACAUCCUUUUCCUGCAUGGGAGAAGGAGGAAAGACGGAGCAAUCUGUCACUUGUGGAUGGGCCUGCGGCGCAUUAGCUAGUUGGUGGGGUAAUGGCCUACCAAGGCGACGAUGCGUAGCCGACCUGAGAGGGUGAUCGGCCACACUGGGACUGAGACACGGCCCAGACUCCUACGGGAGGCAGCAGUAGGGAAUCUUCCGCAAUGGGCGAAAGCCUGACGGAGCAACGCCGCGUGAGUGAUGAAGGUUUUCGGAUCGUAAAGCUCUGUUGCCAGGGAAGAACGUCUUGUAGAGUAACUGCUACAAGAGUGACGGUACCUGAGAAGAAAGCCCCGGCUAACUACGUGCCAGCAGCCGCGGUAAUACGUAGGGGGCAAGCGUUGUCCGGAAUUAUUGGGCGUAAAGCGCGCGCAGGCGGCUCUUUAAGUCUGGUGUUUAAUCCCGAAGUUCAACUUCGGGUCCCCACUGGAAACUGGUAAAGCUUGAAUGUCAAAGAAGAAAAUGUGUAAUCCCCCCGUAUCGGUGAAA
Molecule: ribosomal RNA, 664 nt
Filed under: Paenibacillus polymyxa
Lineage: Bacteria; Bacillati; Bacillota; Bacilli; Caryophanales; Paenibacillaceae
Description: bacterial SSU rRNA
Rfam family: Bacterial small subunit ribosomal RNA
Source: RNAcentral